GGGUUCGAUUCCGGAGAGGGAGCCUGAGAAACGGCUACCACAUCCAAGGAUGGCAGCAGGCGCGCAAAUUACCCAAUCCAGACACUGGGAGGUGGUGACGAGAAAUACCAGGUCGUUCCCAAAAGGAUUCGACACUGGAAUGAGUGCAAUUUAAAAAUUUCAAUGAGUAACAACUGGAGGGCAAGUCUGGUGCCAGCAGCCGCGGUAAUUCCAGCUCCAGUAGUGUAUCCAAACGUUGCUGCGGUUAAAACGCUCGUAGUUGGACAAGAGAGUAGCUUGGUGCGGGCGGGGAGUGUUUUUACUUUAUGUGUAAUUCUUUUGGUGUGCAGAUCUGUCGUAAGAUGGGUUUGUGCAUUGAUUGGAUCUUGAGCAUAUUUGUAUCGCUUGUCGACCAUGCUGCCAGGCUACUUGUAAUGUUUCGUGAGAAUGUUACAUGAUCUUUAUUGUAUUGUGUAAUGUGUCUUACGUAGUGUGCCUUGAAUAAAUCAGAGUGCUCAAAGCAAGCUAUAGCUUGAAUGUUAAUAGCAUGGAACGAAUGUUUAGUGGAAGUGAGCUUGUUGAAUUCACUUGUGGGUUCGAUGGUUCACAGCACCAACCACGAAGCGGAGCAUUGGUUGCCGACUUCGGGUGAGGAUUAAGAGGGGCAUUUGGGGGCAUUAGUAUUUGGCCGCGAGAGGUGAAAUUCUUGGACCGGCUAAGGACUAACAAGUGCGAAAGCAUUUGCCAAGUAUGUUCCCUUUAAUCAAGAACGAAAGUGAGAGGUUCGAAGACGAUCAGAUACCGUCCUAGUUCUCACCGUAAACGAUGCCAACCCGGGAUCAGUUCGGAUGCACACCAAUUGAUCCAGGUUGGUCCCCCUGGGAAACCUUGAGUUUUUAGGUUCCGGGGGGAGUAUGGUUGCAAGGCUGAAACUUAAAGGAAUUGACGGAAGGGCACCACCAGGGGUGGAGCCUGCGGCUUAAUUUGACUCAACACGGGAAAACUCACCUGGUCCGGACAUCGAUAGGAUUGACAGGCUAAAGAUCUUUCAUGAUACGGUGGGUGGUGGUGCAUGGCCGUUCUUAGUUCGUGGAGCGAUCUGUCAGGUUUAUUCCGGUAACGAACGAGACCAUGUUCUUCAUUUGGGGAGCUGGAGGACAAGUAGUAAUGGUCGUAGUUUGCAGUUUGUGUUGUAUUUCGGUGCAAUGCAAGCUGUUGGCUAUGAUUGGUUCUUCUUGAUACUCUGGUGUACGUGCAGCAAUGUGCGU
This 1247-nucleotide ribosomal RNA is filed under the name Zschokkella sp. n. WC-2019. RNAcentral's name for it is "SSU rRNA". It matches the Rfam family "Eukaryotic small subunit ribosomal RNA", at positions 373 to 1399 of the family's 1831-position model. Lineage: Eukaryota; Metazoa; Cnidaria; Myxozoa; Bivalvulida; Myxidiidae. The record is from RNAcentral.